Molecule: ribosomal RNA, 1423 nt
Filed under: Salegentibacter sp.
Lineage: Bacteria; Pseudomonadati; Bacteroidota; Flavobacteriia; Flavobacteriales; Flavobacteriaceae
Description: bacterial SSU rRNA
Rfam family: Bacterial small subunit ribosomal RNA
Source: RNAcentral
AAUUUAGGGGGCUACCAUGCAGUCGAGGGGUAACAUAGAAAAGCUUGCUUUUCUGAUGACGACCGGCGCACGGGUGCGUAACGCGUAUACAACCUACCUUUUAGCGGGGAAUAGCCCAGGGAAACUUGGAUUAAUGCCCCAUAGUAUAUAGACUUCUCCUGAAGUUUAUAUUAAACAUUUAUGGCUAUUAGAUGGGUAUGCGUCCUAUUAGUUAGUUGGUAAGGUAACGGCUUACCAAGGCAGCGAUAGGUAGGGGUCCUGAGAGGGAGAUCCCCCCACACUGGUACUGAGACACGGACCAGACUCCUACGGGAGGCAGCAGUGAGGAAUAUUGGACAAUGGGCGAGAGCCUGAUCCAGCCAUGCCGCGUGCAGGAAGACUGCCCUAUGGGUUGUAAACUGCUUUUACAGAGGAAGAACCACCCCCACGUGUGGGGGUUUGACGGUACUCUGCGAAUAAGGAUCGGCUAACUCCGUGCCAGCAGCCGCGGUAAUACGGAGGAUCCAAGCGUUAUCCGGAAUCAUUGGGUUUAAAGGGUCCGUAGGCGGGCAGUUAAGUCAGUGGUGAAAGUCUUCCGCUCAACGGGAGAACUGCCAUUGAUACUGAUUGUCUUGAGUUAUUAUGAAGUGGUUAGAAUGAGUAGUGUAGCGGUGAAAUGCAUAGAUAUUACUCAGAAUACCGAUUGCGAAGGCAGAUCACUAAUAAUAUACUGACGCUGAUGGACGAAAGCGUAGGUAGCGAACAGGAUUAGAUACCCUGGUAGUCUACGCCGUAAACGAUGGUUACUAGCUGUUCGGCCCAAUUGAGGGCUGAGUGGUUAAGCGAAAGUGAUAAGUAACCCACCUGGGGAGUACGUUCGCAAGAAUGAAACUCAAAGGAAUUGACGGGGGCCCGCACAAGCGGUGGAGCAUGUGGUUUAAUUCGAUGAUACGCGAGGAACCUUACCAGGGCUUAAAUGUAGUCUGACAGGUCUGGAAACAGACUUUUCUUCGGACAGAUUACAAGGUGCUGCAUGGUUGUCGUCAGCUCGUGCCGUGAGGUGUCAGGUUAAGUCCUAUAACGAGCGCAACCCCUGUGGUUAGUUGCCAGCGAGUAAUGUCGGGAACUCUAGCCAGACUGCCGGUGCAAACCGCGAGGGAAGGUGGGGAUGACGUCAAAUCAUCACGGCCCUUACGUCCUGGGCCACACACGUGCUACAAUGGUAGGGACAGAGAGCAGCCACUUCGCGAGAAGGAGCGAAUCUACAAACCCUAUCACAGUUCGGAUCGCAGUCUGCAACUCGACUGCGUGAAGCUGGAAUCGCUAGUAAUCGCAUAUCAGCCAUGAUGCGGUGAAUACGUUCCCGGGCCUUGUACACACCGCCCGUCAAGCCAUGGAAGCCGGGGGUACCUGAAGUCGGUCACCGCAAGGAGCCGCCCUAGGU